AAAUUGAAGAGUUUGAUCAUGGCUCAGAUUGAACGCUGGCGGCAGGCCUAACACAUGCAAGUCGAACGGUAACAGGAAGCAGCUUGCUGCUUCGCUGACGAGUGGCGGACGGGUGAGUAAUGUCUGGGAAACUGCCUGAUGGAGGGGGAUAACUACUGGAAACGGUAGCUAAUACCGCAUAAUGUCGCAAGACCAAAGAGGGGGACCUUCGGGCCUCUUGCCAUCG
Molecule: ribosomal RNA, 226 nt
Filed under: Escherichia coli
Lineage: Bacteria; Pseudomonadati; Pseudomonadota; Gammaproteobacteria; Enterobacterales; Enterobacteriaceae
Also listed under: 1 other name
Description: partial 16S ribosomal RNA
Rfam family: Bacterial small subunit ribosomal RNA
Source: RNAcentral